GACGAACGCUGGCGGCGUGCUUAACACAUGCAAGUCGAACGGUAAGGGGGUUCGGGGUACACGAGUGGCGAACGGGUGAGUAACACGUGGGUGAUCUGCCCUGCACUUCGGGAUAAGCCUGGGAAACUGGGUCUAAUACCGGAUAGGACUCCGGACUGCAUGGUCUGGGGUGGAAAGCUUUUGCGGUGUGGGAUGGGCCCGCGGCCUAUCAGCUUGUUGGUGGGGUGAUGGCCUACCAAGGCGACGACGGGUAGCCGGCCUGAGAGGGUGACCGGCCACACUGGGACUGGGAUACGGCCCAGACUCCUACGGGAGGCAGCAGUGGGGAAUAUUGCACAAUGGGCGCAAGCCUGAUGCAGCGACGCCGCGUGAGGGAUGACGGCCUUCGGGUUGUAAACCUCUUUCAGCAUCGACGAAGCGAAAGUGACGGUAGGUGCAGAAGAAGGACCGGCCAACUACGUGCCAGCAGCCGCCGCCG
This 478-nucleotide ribosomal RNA is filed under the name uncultured bacterium. RNAcentral's name for it is "partial 16S ribosomal RNA". It matches the Rfam family "Bacterial small subunit ribosomal RNA", at positions 28 to 523 of the family's 1533-position model. The record is from RNAcentral.